Long non-coding RNA from Peromyscus eremicus (cactus mouse), 1069 nucleotides. RefSeq lists it as uncharacterized. Lineage: Eukaryota; Metazoa; Chordata; Mammalia; Rodentia; Cricetidae. The transcript is spliced from 2 exons. The record is from RefSeq and is a predicted model, not a curated record.
UUGGCGUUUGUCAAACCUGCGUGCCUCUCCGGGACCUGGGAUCCUCGGCGGCCGGUGGCUGGGAGCUGCUGCUGUCCGCCCCCGGGCCUGCUGGUUCUCGUCUAACGCUACUACCCUGGGCAGCCUCCAUCAACAGCCUUAGCCUUUAACCUCUUAACAUCUGCCUGUCAGUUCCUUGUAAUUUUCCAAGGAGUCCCUUGGUUUUGUAGAAAGGGAUCUGGUUUGGGAGGCAAGGAAGCAACUUUUUCUUUUUCCUCCCAGAAGAAUUGGACAGGGGUGUUUUGGGUUUUUUUUUGUCCAGUGGCACACAGGAAUCGGAUUUUUCUUUUUCGUGGAUCGAGGACCCAGGGAGGGGUACUGGUUUGACAAGGCACUUUCUGAAAGUUUCCUCCCUGGUCCUACAACUGCCUUGGGAGGUAGAUGCCGUUGAAGAAGCAAGUACAGGAGGCGUAAAUGGCUUUCUGGAGGUGGUAGAUGGCAAAGGUAAAAGCUGAACCGGUUGGAGACCGCAUUCUCCACCAGUGGGGAGCACUGCCUCUGUACACGUGGCUAUGGACAGAUUAUGUCGGACUGAAUUUCCAGGGAAGAAUCUGAAGUGCACAAUGCCUUCAGCAUUGGGUUGUCGCCACACUCUGAGCCGAGUGUGGCUCUUGGGUGCCUCUUCCCUCCUGAUAUGCAGCCAGGCCUCGGGUGCUUUUGGAGCCUGCCAGUGGAUAUCGGAUAAUAGAUGGUUGAUUCCUGCCUGCCAGACUCUUUCAUUCCCAGAGACCCACGCAGAGCAUCUCGGUGCUUUUUGGCACCAUACCUCCUGCCAGCUAAGCGACCCAAAGCUGGAACUUCCUUCUUUUCUACAACCGAGUCAUGCGGUGAAGAUAUACACAUUUUCCACAUUUGUUCUGCUGUUGGAUGUGUCGGACACACGUGCUGGUGCUGAGCUGGAGAAAAGUGCAUCAUGUUUCCAAAAGGCACGGGAUGCGCUCUGCUCCUUAAGCCGUCGGCGAGCAGGCGCUAAAAAUGGAAUGGUUCUAUUAAGCAAAUAAGUUAGACCUAAUUAUAGUGAUUCUUGGAA